AGAGUUUGAUUAUGGCUCAGGAUGAACGCUGGCGGUGUGCCUAAUACAUGCAAGUCGAUCGGGCGUAGCAAUACGUCAGAGGCGUACGGGUGAGUAACACGUAGGUAACCUACCUUUAAGACUGGGAUACCCAGACGAAAGUUUGGCUAAUACCGGAUAACAACAUUUGAGACAUCUCUUUUGUUUGAAAGGCGCUGCAAGGCGCCACUUUUAGAUGGACCUGCGUCGCAUUAGCUAGUUGGUGAGAUAAAAGCCCACCAAGGCUGGGAUGCGUAGCCGAUCUGAGAGGAUGACCGGCCACAAUGGGACUGAGACACGGCCCAUACUCCUACGGGAGGCAGCAGUAGGGAGUUUUCGGCAAUGGGGGAAACCCUGACCGAGCAACACCGCGUGAGUGAUGAAGGGGUCUUCGGAUCGUAAAGCUCUGUUACGAGGGACGAAUGAUCGCUUUAGGAAAUGAGAGCGGUUUGACGGUACCUCGCCAGAAAGCGACGGCUAACUACGUGCCAGCAGCAGC
RNAcentral lists this ribosomal RNA (517 nucleotides) under uncultured bacterium. RNAcentral's name for it is "bacterial SSU rRNA". It matches the Rfam family "Bacterial small subunit ribosomal RNA", at positions 8 to 518 of the family's 1533-position model. The record is from RNAcentral.